This 451-nucleotide ribosomal RNA is filed under the name uncultured bacterium. RNAcentral describes it as "partial 16S ribosomal RNA". It matches the Rfam family "Bacterial small subunit ribosomal RNA", at positions 354 to 796 of the family's 1533-position model. The record is from RNAcentral.
GUGGGGAAUAUUGGACAAUGGGGGGAACCCUGAUCCAGCCAUGCCGCGUGUGUGAAGAAGGCCUUUUGGUUGUAAAGCACUUUAAGCGAGGAGGAGGCUACCGAGAUUAAUACUCUUGGAUAGUGGACGUUACUCGCAGAAUAAGCACCGGCUAACUCUGUGCCAGCAGCCGCGGUAAUACAGAGGGUGCAAGCGUUAAUCGGAUUUACUGGGCGUAAUGCGCGCGUAGGUGGCCAAUUAAGUCAAAUGUGAAAUCCCCGAGCUUAACUUGGGAAUUGCAUUCGAUACUGGUUGGCUAGAGUAUGGGAGAGGAUGGUAGAAUUCCAGGUGUAGCGGUGAAAUGCGUAGAGAUCUGGAGGAAUACCGAUGGCGAAGGCAGCCAUCUGGCCUAAUACUGACACUGAGGUGCGAAAGCAUGGGGAGCAAACAGGAUUAGAAACCCCUGUAGUCC